UUAAGUGACUAAGCGUAUGUGGUGGAUGCCUUGGCAGUUAGAGGCGAUGAAGGACGUGUUAAUCUGCGAAAAGCGUAGUUAAGGUGAUAAAAACCGUUAUAGACUGCGAUAUCCGAAUGGGGAAACCCACCCGUCGUAAGGCGGGUAUCAUUAAGUGAAUACAUAGCUUAAUGAGGCGAACCGGGAGAACUGAAACAUCUAAGUACCCCGAGGAAAAGAAAUCAACCGAGAUUUCGUUAGUAGCGGCGAGCGAACGCGAAUUAGCCCUUAAGUGGUUUGUAAGUUAGUGGAAUCUACUGGAAAGUAGAACGAUACAGGGUGAUAGUCCCGUACACGAAAAUAAACUUAUCAUGAAAUCGAGUAGGUCGGCACACGUGAAACGUUGACUGAACAUGGGGGGACCAUCCUCCAAGGCUAAAUACUCCUAACUGACCGAUAGUGAACCAGUACCGUGAGGGAAAGGCGAAAAGAACCCCUGUGAGGGGAGUGAAAUAGAACCUGAAACCGUGUACGUACAAGCAGUAGGAGCAGACUUGUUCUGUGACUGCGUACCUUUUGUAUAAUGGGUCAGCGACUUAUAUUUUGUAGCAAGGUUAACCGAAUAGGGGAGCCGUAGCGAAAGCGAGUGUUAACUGCGCGUUUAGUUGCAGGGUAUAGACCCGAAACCCGGCGAUCUACCCAUGGGCAGGUUGAAGGUUGAGUAACAUCAACUGGAGGACCGAACACACGUAUGUUGAAAAAUGCGGUGAUGACUUGUGGGUCGGAGUGAAAGGCUAAUCAAGCCGGGAGAUAGCUGGUUCUCCCCGAAAUCUAUUUAGGUAGAGCCUCGCACGAACACCAUUGGGGGUAGAGCACUGUUAAGGCUAGGGGGUCAUCCCGACUUACCAACCCUUUGCAAACUCCGAAUACCAAUGAGUGAUAUGCGGGAGACACACUACGGGUGCUAACGUCCGUUGUGAAGAGGGAAACAACCCAGACCGCCAGCUAAGGUCCCAAAGUACUAGUUAAGUGGGAAACGAUGUGGAAAGGCAUAGACAGCUAGGAGGUUGGCUUAGAAGCAGCCAUCCUUUAAAGAAAGCGUAAUAGCUCACUAGUCGAGUCGGUCUGCGCGGAAGAUGUAACGGGGCUAAACUAGUCACCGAAGCUGCGGAUUCAUAAUUUAUUAUGAGUGGUAGGGGAGCGUUCUGUAAGCCGUUGAAGGUGUGUUGUAAAGCAUGCUGGAGGUAUCAGAAGUGCGAAUGCUGACAUGAGUAACGAUAAGGGGAGUGAAAAACUCCCCCGCCGAAAGACCAAGGUUUCCUGUCCCAUGUUAAUCAGGGCAGGGUAAGUCGGCCCCUAAGGCGAGGCGGAAACGCGUAGUCGAUGGGAAACAGAUUAAUAUUUCUGUACUUCUAUAUAUUGCGAAGGAGGGACGGAGUAGGCUAGGUGAGCACGGCGUUGGUAGUCCGUGUGAAAGUAUGUAGGCGGUUGACUUAGGUAAAUCCGGGUCUUCAUUAACGCUGAGAUACGAGACGAGUGUCCAAGGACAUGAAGUCAUUGAUGCCAUGCUUCCAGGAAAAGCUUCUAAGCUUCAGAUAUAUAGGAACCGUACCCCAAACCGACACAGGUGGUUAGGUAGAGAAUACUAAGGCGCUUGAGAGAACUCGGGUGAAGGAACUAGGCAAAAUAGUACCGUAACUUCGGGAGAAGGUACGCUCUCUAAUGUGAAUGACUUGCUCAGUAAGCAUCGGAGAGUCGAAGUAACCAGGUGGCUGGAACUGUUUAUUAAAAACACAGCACUGUGCAAAAUCGAAAGAUGACGUAUACGGUGUGACGCCUGCCCGGUGCCGGAAGGUUAAUUGAUUGGGUUAGCUCUGCGAAGCUCAUGAUCGAAGCCCCGGUAAACGGCGGCCGUAACUAUAACGGUCCUAAGGUAGCGAAAUUCCUUGUCGGGU
Molecule: ribosomal RNA, 1934 nt
Filed under: seawater metagenome
Description: bacterial LSU rRNA
Rfam family: Bacterial large subunit ribosomal RNA
Source: RNAcentral